UCGGGGGUAGUUCAGUGGUAGAGCGCUUGCCUAGCAAGCACAAAGCCCUGGGUUCGGUCCUCAGCUCCAGAA
This is a non-coding RNA of Rattus norvegicus (Norway rat), 72 nucleotides long. NCBI's taxonomy places the organism in Eukaryota, Metazoa, Chordata, Mammalia, Rodentia, Muridae. The record is from Rfam.